Molecule: long non-coding RNA, 5484 nt
Organism: Bacillus rossius redtenbacheri
Lineage: Eukaryota; Metazoa; Arthropoda; Insecta; Phasmatodea; Bacillidae
Exons: 2
Source: RefSeq, a predicted model, not a curated record
AACUGUAAUAAAUAAUUCCAUUCUUCAUAUAUUUGGAUAAAAAUAUUUUCCCAAUAUUAUUAAAGAAUUUCAUAUGUAGUAAAACAUAUACAAACCUUUAACUUUUAAUUUUAUUACGUAAAAAGAUGCUUUUAAUUAUGUUUUUUUUUUACUGAAUGUCUACAAUAGUAAUAACGUUUAUGGGUUGAAAAUAUUGUGCAUCGUUCAAGAAGUUCUAGAUGACAACGACUUGCAGCAGUCCAUUAAAAUACUUCUUUUUCAUACAGUUUAUAACGUAGACUCUCCGUAAACUUAUACUCCGCCUCUUAGUGACGUAUUGCGUCUAUGAGGAAAGACGAAACAUGACACGCCUGGGAACACUACAGUCGCUGCCAACAUGACACUGUACAGAUUUGCCGCGUGAUUAUCAGACGCCGCGAUGUACGUCUUAUAUAAGUUGUACGCAUUUACACCGCAGCAUUUGCCCAGGAAAGAAAUAAAAUUCCAGACAGUUUCCCGGUUUUUCCCGGACCCUUUCAAAUUCCCGACAUAUUCCCGGUUUUUCCCGUUUUCCCGGUUUGGUGGCCACCCUGUUCUUUGUCGCGUCACAAAAUAGUCAUGCUUGGCAGUGAUAGCCCUAAUGUUAAUAAAAUGGUGGAGCGGCUAAUCAAUGAGCAGUUAAUUGCUGUUAGGAAUAAAGGUGUGGUAAACUUAGGGACAUGUAAUAUUCACAUAUUACAUAAUGCAUUUCUGAGAGGCAUUGGGAAAUUUGGUGAGGAUGCAUCAGAUUUGGUGAUUGCUGUCCACGAUUUCUUCAGCGGCUGGCCAGCUAGGUGUGAGGACUACAGCACUGUGCAAAGUGAGCUGAAUAUUCCCCACCACAACUUCAUGAAACAUGUUUCUUCGAGGUGGCUUACACUUGAAAGUGCAGCAAUACGAUUGGUAGAACAGUGGGAUGCUGUGAUGAAAUACUUUUUGUCGUUUGUCCCAAAGAAAAGGAAUGACCUUAUCAAAAGCAUGAAGUACAGAAAAAUAACGGAGCUUCUCAAGAAGAAAACUAUGAAGGCCGAAGUUUUGUUUGUUUGCUCAAGUGCACGUGUGUUCAUGCGUUUCACUGGUGUUUUUCAAAAAGAAUAACCAAUGAUUCAUGUAAUGUAUGAUCAACUUUACACACUGAUAACAAGUUUAAUGGGGAAAGUGUGUAAACCUGCUGCUAUUAAAGAAUUUGGUGUUAAUGAAGAAGUUCUUAAAUUAGAAAAUCUUCUUCCUGCCAGUAGAAUUCAGGUGUCUGAUGAUGUUUCACUGGAAAUAUCUAAGUUGGAUGAAAGAGAUCGUCUAGAAUUCCUCAGCAUGGGUCAGAAACACAUUGUACAAGCCUGUUCGUACAUAAUUACUAAAUCCUCUUUACGGACAAAACCUUUGCUGAGACACUUGCGCUUCCUGCAACCACAGGAAAGAACUUCUCAGCAAAGUUGCUUGGACAUUGUUGCUGUUGCAAAGUGUCUGCCCAUGGAUGUUGACACAGAUGUGCUUUUAGAUGAGUGGAAGUUGCUUCAGCACGAGACAGUAACCAACAGCGAAGAUCGCAUUGAUAGUUAUUGGGGGCAAUGUUUUGAUAUCAAAAGUAGCUUAAGGGUUCUGAAGUAUCCGAAUGUGUGUGCAGUAGUCAAGGCAGUACUAUUAACUCUUUCCCACAGUAAUGCAGAUGUAGAGCGUGGUUUCUCUGUUUCCUGUAAAGAUAAGGGAUCUAUGUCUGAAAGGACAUUAAAUGCGGCUUUAACUGUUAAAAGUGGUAUGAAGAUGUUUCACAUGAAACCACAGUUGAUAAUGUUACGAAAGAGCUCAUGUCAAUGGCCCGCAGUGCUCAUGCCAGUUAUCAGUCAUAUUUGGAAAGGAAAAGGAAGGCCUCAGAAGAGGAAGCAAAACAAAAUGUAGAGUCUGUAGAAAAAUGAAUUGCAGAGGAACUAAAGGAAAAAAACCAACUUCAAGAAAGAGAGACCAUUUCAGCUGCAGAAGAGAAACUGAAAAAUUUGAAAAAAGAAAAACGAAUGGCUACAGAUAAAUUGUUUGAAGAAGCAAAUGUUAGGUUAAAAAAGGCUAUUGCGCAGAAAAACAUGACAGAAAUAGUGUUAGCACAAGCUAUGCUGGAAGGUGUAAUAAGCGUCAGGAAAGAAUAAUGUGAGAAAAAACAGGAGGCUUAAGCAGUGCAAAAGUCAAUUGAAAAAUGAAAAACAAGAAUUAUAUGAUUGGAUUAUUUUUCAAAAAAACUAGGGAUGGGUCGAUUCGAUUCUCCGAUUCCUAGAUACCACCGAUUAUUAAAAAAUUUGGGUACUCAGUAUCGGGUACUAAAAAAGGGCAAGGUAGGUUAGGUAUCGGUUAAGUUAAUUAAGCAAAUAAAUACAGUAGUAUUAUAUUUUCGUGAGCUUUUCUUACAUAUUUUAAUAUAUCUUACCUGCCGUAUGCGCAUAAAAUUCCUAAUAAUGCUCAUUAUUAUUAAAUAUUAAUUUUAUAAGAGUAAAAUUAAAAAAUAAAAACAAUGUUACCGGGCAUGUUUAACCUCUAAUUAAAACUCCACGAUCGAAGAACUUUAUUCCUCACUCAUGUAUUAGACGUAAAUAAAUUGUAAAAAGACUAAUUAAUUUUAUUUACAGUUAAGAAAAGUCAAUUGUUUUUUGUUAAGAAAGUGACGGUUAUGAAACGAGAUCACAUCACGUGUCGUCACCAUUUUAGUUGUGAUCCAUUCUAGGGAUAUUCGAUAUACAUCGAUGUAUUGAAAACAUUGAUGUUUACAAUGUGAUACAUCGGAAUGAUCCGAUGUUUUGAAAUGCUUUCGAUAUACUCGAUGUAUCAAUGUUUUUUCAGUUUUUAGAAGGAAAACAUCGAAUCGAAUUUAACCAAUUAAUUUCAUAAAAACUCAAGUUUGACCACUAAAAUUUUACCUAAAAUCUCUUCUUAUUUGUUUAUUAUUCAAUAGUGGACUGACAAUAUAAUGCAGUCGCGGCCGACGUAUACUAAAAAAUUGUUUUGGCAGCACUACGCACGAGUCAGUGACAGUAAAAAAAAACUGUUUAGUGUUUAUGUUAUGUCACAGUGUCAGUAAUCAGUAAUCUGUCGUCGUGUCGUGUUUAAAAAUAACGAAUAACAAAUUGAAUUACAUUUGGUUUUGUGGACGAAAUAAGAUUGAAGUGGAUUGUGUAUAGUUAUAUAUUAAUAUACCUACUCAAUAUAAUGAAAUCUCAUCUUUUUGUGAGAUCACAUAUUCAAUUGGACUGAGGUAAGUAAGGAAGGUUAUAAUUAUGUUGUAGUUCAUUUAUUAUCAUGUCAACAAGAGUAACAAUAAAAUCAGUAAUUUACUGAAUAACAGAAUAAACAGUGUUAGUAAUUAGAUUAGUAAAUUACUUUACCUGUAACACACAUAUUAUUUAUUAACCUACAUCGUUACAUUUAUCGGGACUAUUCUACUUUGCGAUACCAUAACAAUAUUGAUGAUGUCACCAAGAUGGCGUCGCUUACGUCAUUACCACCCCUACUUUCUUUCGGGAGAAGCGCGGGAACAUGGGGGUUUUGGGCGGGGAACAAUAAACACACUAUUUUUCACGCAUUUCAUUUUUUAAAUAAUAUUUUUUCGCGGUAUCAUAAACUAGAAUAUAAUCCCACCCGCUCUCUUCUUUUUUGCGAUACCACCGGUAUUGCUAAAUAGAAUUGACCGGAUGGGACUAUAUUCUAGUUCACGAUACCGGAUACCGCGAAUAUAUUUUAUUGAAAUUACUCCAAAUCAAUAAAAUAAAUUCUGGUAUCGCAAAAUAGAAUUGACCGGGUGGGACUGUAUUCCAUUUCACGAUACCGCGAAUAUAUAUUUUUUAAAUUAUCACUUUCUAAGAAAUAUUUUCCGGUAUCGCGAAAAGAAUUGACCGGUGGGACAGUAUGCUAUUUCACGAUACCGCGAAUAUAUUUUAAUGAAUUAAAAGAAUUGCAGGAUCGUGAAUUAGAAUAGUCAAAUUAAUUUCGUGAAUAAAACUACUUCUUAAAUCAACGAACAUUACACAUCACACGCAGUUUCGUAACCGCCAUCACUUCCACUAACUGUAACUAUUUUGCAAACAAAUGAACAACGGCAAAUCAAAAAUACCUACCCACUUCACUACUACCAACACUUUAAACUUAAACUUCUACUUGUUACCAAUCUCAUUUGCCUACAUAUAUAACGUCAUACAUUUUCCCUCCGGGGUUCUCAACCAAUAGAAACGCCGGUAUCGAAUAAUAGAAAAGACCCCAUUUAUCUAGCAAACUCAUUUCACCAAAUUGUAAACCUAUAUUCAUUUAUAAAACAAUAGGUAUAUUAAUUGAUGAAAUCAAGGAAUCUAUUCAUCAUAAUAUUAGUCUGAAUCAUUCUGUAAUGAGGUAUUAAAUUUAUUUGUGUGUUAUGAUAGUGAUGUGACAUGUUUGAUUGAUGAAUUUAUCGAUUUUAACUACUAUAAUAAAUGAACUUUUUUUUAUUUCAGUCUGACAACACAUACGAUGGCACCUUCCAAGAAGAGUGAUGAAUGGAGGUUUUACGAUAAAACUGAAGGAAACAAUAACUGUGCAAAAUGUAGACUCUGUCAAAAAUUAAUCAAAUCUUGUGGCAAUACAACUAAUUUAAUUGGCCAUUUAAAAAAUAUACAUAAGGCUGCUUUUCAAGAGUUCAAUAAUGGAUGUUCUAAAAAAUCCGAUAUUCAGAGCAACACAAUUAAGAAAAAUAUACAAUUAGUCCCCAAUAGCUCUGAUCCACUACCAUCAACAUCAACGAGUUCUGCUGGAAUAAUGGAGAUGGAAUCGACUAGUGAUGCCGAUAAAAAAUGUGACUCUUCAAAAGAUGAUGUAUGUGUUUCUAUCCCUCCAGCUCCAAAACGUCAGAAGUCUAUUGUGUCAAGUUUUGAAGAAAUUAACGCUUUUUCAGAGAGAGGUGAUAAAACAUUAAGAAUUAACAACGCCCUAAUAUAUUUGAUGUGUAAAGACAAUCAACCAUUUACAAUUGUUGAAAAUGAAGGCUUUCGCAGUUUGAUUAAAGUUCUUGCGUCACAUUAUAAACUACCUAGUAAAACAACGUUGACUCGAUGGGUUGAUGAUAAAUACGCAGCAUUAUCAACAGUCUUCAAAGAUAAGUUGUCUAAUAUUGAAUACGUUACUCUUACUACUGACAUGUGGUCUGAAACAAUGAGCAUGAGAAGUUUUUUAGGAAUAACAGCACACUUCGGUGAAGGUAAAGAUCUUUUUUUCAAUCACUCUUGGAGUGUACGAGUCAAACGAACGCCAUACUUCAGAACACAUAGCUGAAAUGCUGCUGAAAACUUGUGCUGAAUGGGGUAUAGAUAGUGACAAAGUUUCAACUGUAGUCACAGAUAACACAGCUAACAUGGUAAAAGCUGUUGAUUUAGCUUUUGGAAAAAAGCAUAUACCAUGUUUCGCACAUACAUUGAAUUUGGUUGCACACAAUGCUAUACAGCAGUGUACUAAUCUGCAAAA